RNAcentral lists this ribosomal RNA (467 nucleotides) under uncultured bacterium. RNAcentral describes it as "partial 16S ribosomal RNA". It matches the Rfam family "Bacterial small subunit ribosomal RNA", at positions 28 to 507 of the family's 1533-position model. The record is from RNAcentral.
GACGAACGCUGGCGGCGUGCUUAACACAUGCAAGUCGAACGGAAAGGCCCUGCUUUUGUGGGGUGCUCGAGUGGCGAACGGGUGAGUAACACGUGAGUAACCUGCCCUUGACUUUGGGAUAACUUCAGGAAACUGGGGCUAAUACCGGAUAGGAGCUCCUGCUGCAUGGUGGGGGUUGGAAAGUUUCGGCGGUUGGGGAUGGACUCGCGGCUUAUCAGCUUGUUGGUGGGGUAGUGGCUUACCAAGGCUUUGACGGGUAGCCGGCCUGAGAGGGUGACCGGCCACUUUGGGCCUGGAAUACGGCCCGGACUCCUACGGGGGGCAGCGGUGGGAAAUUUUGCCCAUUGGGCGGAGCCCUAUGCCGGCACCGCCGCGUGCGGAAGAACGCCCUUCGGGUUGUAACCGCUUUCGCCUGUGACGAAGCGUGAGUGACGGUAAUGGGUAAAGAAGCACCGGCUAACUACGUG